GUAGGUCAUACUGAACAACUUUUACUAUAGCCAACCCUGAAAUCACGAAAAAGAAAUCGCCUGUUUAAUAGAAAACAUUGACUCUACUGAUUCACCGCAAUAUGUAUGAGACAGCAGAUUUUUUUUCACGAUUUCGGGGCUGGUCCCAUAGUAUAAGUUGUUAAGUAUGACCUAUAUAUAUUCACCCCUCAGAGUUUGGUCAGAGAUAACAAUUUCGCCUUGUAUAAAAUGAUAAUACGAAGUCAACCUAAUGUAAUAUUCUUUUUUCAGACCCCUUACGGAACUGUGAAAAAAAGACAUUGGGAAGCGGUAUUAGAGGAAGAGAAUUAUCGUCAGCCUAACUUAAAAAUCGCUUACAAGUUAACACCAGCGCAUUUGAAACCGAAAGGUUUUCAAGUAAUGAAUGUUCCUCUUGCAACUGAAGUGUUUGGUCACGAAAUUUCGGUCGCCAUGGCUCACUAUCAACAAAUAUUGCGAGGAAUUGAAGGAUUCAACUGCAACACAAAAAUUUAUUGAUCUUGUAUUCAAUUUGAUACAAGCUAUGUCUUCGCGUAUACCAAGAGAUGCUCUGUACGUGAAUGAAAAUUGCAGACGAAGAAAGGCAAUCCAGGAAUUUUUAGAAUUCCUUGCAGACUGGGAAAAGCUCGAAAAAAAAAUACCUGUGUCAAGGAGCACGUUAACUGGAUUAAAAGUAACUUUACGGGCAACACUUGAAAUUUUGGAUAUGCUGAAUGUUGCAUGUGAUUACAAGUAUUUGAUGACAGCAACCCUAUCUCAAGAUCCGUUGGAGGUAAUUAAUAAUUACUAAUUAUGUAAUCCAAUGAAUAUGAAUCUGCUUGUAUGGAAUCUGCAUCAUGUAUGCUGCCUUACUUUUGGAGAAAGUCCAGAAAG
This is a long non-coding RNA of Cydia fagiglandana, 891 nucleotides long. RefSeq lists it as uncharacterized. The transcript is spliced from 3 exons. Lineage: Eukaryota; Metazoa; Arthropoda; Insecta; Lepidoptera; Tortricidae. The record is from RefSeq and is a predicted model, not a curated record.